RNAcentral lists this long non-coding RNA (534 nucleotides) under Apteryx rowi (Okarito brown kiwi). Its description in RNAcentral is "lncRNA (ENSARWG00000005728.1)". The record is from RNAcentral. Lineage: Eukaryota; Metazoa; Chordata; Aves; Apterygiformes; Apterygidae.
CUGACCUGUGCUGAGUUACCAGAGGCCUAAAUAUAUAUCUGGCAGUCCAGUGUUCAGAAAAAUGUUUCUCUUCAGAAAAGUGAAGAAUAGACUCAGUAAUUUCCACAGCACAUCUGAAGCCUCACCAAACCCAUGUUCUACACAAUAAUUUUUUCCUUUAACCUUUUUUUCUCUUCCUAGAUAAACCAAAAUGUAGUAAAUUACUGUCCAAAGGACCAAGAAAAUCAGCUGGGUAACAGAAAUGGCUAAACAUUAAAGAUUUCCCUGCUGAACAAAGAACAGCACUCGGAGAUGAAAAAUAAUAAACAUCUUUCAGAGAAAGGAAGAGAGGGAAACUUACUGCUGUCAAGAAAACCAAAUGGAAAAACCCUUCCUAGCAUACGUGUCCCAUUGAGAAGCAUGGAGUUUAGCCCAGACAGCUCACAACAACCUCCACAGAGGCCAAGUGUAAAAGAAGAAACUUCCAAAGUAUCUGUUUGUACCAUGAUGGGCAGCAUUUUCACCACAGGUGGGUGACAGACUGGCACUCAGUAC